UUGCCUAGGCAAAUCACCAUAUACAAUAGAUGCAGUGACACCUUUUCCGUACAUCUUUACUCUUCCCCCUUUAUCUUGCCCAGCAACUUGAGAAAAUAUAUCAUCCGGGCCCGUAUCUUGAGGUAUCUCCAUUCUGCUGUAUCUCCAUUCUGCUGAUCUAGAGUUCCAGCAGAUACCAGCAUGCCAUUCUUCGUUCUUGCCAUACCUGAAAUAUUACAAACUGUAAAUUCAAUCUUAACAGUGAAAAGUUAUUAAAACUAGUAAUUAUAAUCAAUAAAUUAAUAAAAUUGCCCCAUAAAUACUAUCUAAAGAUGAAUAAUAGUAUAAUGAUUCAUUACUGUUAUUGUCCAUGAAAAGAAAUUCUCAUUCAUUAUCAUUAUAAGAAAGAAUAACUCUAAUACAAAACAGUAAAUACUAAAUGCAGCUGAGCACGUCCUAUGUAUCUUCUACAUGAUUUUCUUCUAAGUGAUCCACUGGAUUUUCUACUACUACUUUCCGUGUUUUGCAAAUACCGUUUCUACAUUUCUUACAGGGGCACAAGAUUAGCCCAUCGUUUGAAUUUGAGAAGGCAAAGUUAAGAAAACUAUGCAAUCCUGUUUGAUACUCUGUGCUUGACCUUGGGGAAUCCAUCCAUUUUCUAUCCAUGCUAAUCGUUUCGACUGGAAAGGCAACUAUUACAAUAGACAAUAAGAAUAUAUAUAUAUAUAUAUAUAUAUAUAUAUAUAUAUAUAUAUAUAUAUAUAUAUAUAUAUAUAUAUAUAUAUAUAUAUAUAUAUAUAUAUAUAUAUAUAUAUAUAUAUAUAUAUAUAUAUAUAUAUAUAUAUAUAUAUAUAUGUAUAUGGGUGGAGACAAACUGCAAUACAAAGUUAAGGAAUAGAAUUUUUCUGGUAUUUCUUAUUCAAACCUGUAUAACACCUUCUGUCUUUGAGUAAAAUAGCUUCAAGAUAGGGAAAUUAAUAUCUCACAAAUUAGCCUGUAUGAAAAUUUCAAACACAAUAUUUAAUUUAUGAAGUUAAUUUCCAAACAAUAAAUUUCAGAAAUCACAGUAUGAUAAUCCCAAAUCUUCAUCAGACAGCAACAAAAAAUUGAAACAAUAAAUGAAUGAAUUUUUCCAAGAAAUUCAAAAAAAAAAAAAAGUAUAAAGAAAUAUCUUAACCAGCAUUAACAUGUGAAUUUAUAUUCUAUUAUUUUAUGAAUUUAUUCCAAAGUUUUAAUAAGUGCAUCCCUUAACCUUUCUUUCAGUGUAAUCAGAUUUUUUUUACAUCACCAUACUAAAUCUCACCCAAUACCCACGUUGAACCAAAUCUCACCCAAUCCACUCUAAUUUCGUUUAAGGUGCACCAAAUUCAUGAAGUAGACGAAAGAUCAUACAACUUUGUUCGAGAAAAAAAAUUAUUAAAUAAUUUUGAAACAAAAUAUUUAGGUCAUGAAACAAAGACUUAUAUUACCUACCAGAGUUCUUCAGUAAUUUUAAUAUACCUGUCCAGAAAUCAUCACAUAUUUUGAUUGUUAAGAAUCAAAGCAGAUGACGGGGAAAUUCUCAAACUAAAUUAAAUUCACAGGCACCUGUACCGCCGUUUGCACGAAAGGAAGAAGAAACCGGGCUGGAGUGCACCGCCGAUUGAACAAAAAGGAAGAAGGAAACGGGGAAUGAAAGGGUUAGGGAUUUGGUGAAAAGCGAGAAGAAAACGGGAUAUGAAAGGGUUAGGGAUUUGGCAGAAAUCUUUUUUUUCUCCUUUGUAAGUGAAAUGGGC
RNAcentral lists this long non-coding RNA (1754 nucleotides) under Erythranthe guttata (spotted monkey flower). Its description in RNAcentral is "long non-coding RNA (EGUT_LNC000799)". Lineage: Eukaryota; Viridiplantae; Streptophyta; Magnoliopsida; Lamiales; Phrymaceae. The record is from RNAcentral.